AUGGGGACUCGUCGUCGCUCCCCUCCACGAGCAGGACCUCCACCAGCCACUCCUCACACUGCGGCGAGGGCCCGUGGAGGGCGAGUCCGUCUUCGCCGACGAGAGGACGCCGCGGAGGAGGAGACCAUCGUGUCGCCCAAUCGAUGCAUCCAUGGCGCUGUCCCAGGAAGCUCGUUGCUGGGCCUCCGCCUCCGUCGUCCACCGGAACCACCUGAGUCGUCCCUCUCCCUUGCUGUGCACGCUGGGAAUCGAUGCUCUAUCCCUGCAGUGCUCGUUGGGAAUCACCGGAGUCGCCGCUCCCUCCGCCUUGCUACUGGGGUGUGA
Molecule: ribosomal RNA, 324 nt
Filed under: Triticum aestivum (bread wheat)
Lineage: Eukaryota; Viridiplantae; Streptophyta; Magnoliopsida; Poales; Poaceae
Description: partial small subunit ribosomal RNA
Source: RNAcentral